GGCCCCUUCCCAUCCCAUCCACUCUUCCCACAUGUCCCAAUCUGGAUCGUCCAUUCCUCUCAUUGGCUCAUCUAUUCCUUGAUCAGUUGGCUCAUAUGAUGAGUACAUUUGUGAUUCAUCUGCUUCUCCUCUCAAACUGCUCAACACAAUAUCAUAGGCUUCAUUAAUCCUAGUGAACUGCACAUUACAAUUGCUUUCUCUGCAUACAUCAGGAUGAUACUGCAAAGCAAGCUGCCUAAAGGCUUUCUUGACCUCAGAUUCAGAGGCACCAGGCUGGAUCCUAAGGGUCUUGUAAGGAUCCAUCACAGAAGAUGAAGAAGAAACACAGAGAAACCUGACUCUAUCUCCCCUCAUAUUGUUAUUAUUCUUCCUCCUCUUCUUGAUCUGAAACCAAGAAGAUGAAGAACCAGUACAACCAUUNNNUCCCCCAAUCAUUCCAACAGCAGCACAAGCCAUAUUUUCCGAUCACUCUUAGAAGGUAACAACACAAUUCAAGAAAUACCCAGAAAAUCGUCCUUAUAAAUGAUUUAAUGAGAAACAAAAAACCAAGAAAAACAAAACAGUGGGCAAGAAAUGGACGGUUUUGGCUCUUGAGAAAUUGGUAAAGGUGAAAGCUUUCAAUAAUAGAAUAG
This 632-nucleotide unclassified non-coding RNA is filed under the name Hevea brasiliensis (rubber tree). Lineage: Eukaryota; Viridiplantae; Streptophyta; Magnoliopsida; Malpighiales; Euphorbiaceae. The record is from RNAcentral.